Molecule: long non-coding RNA, 479 nt
Filed under: Mustela putorius furo (domestic ferret)
Lineage: Eukaryota; Metazoa; Chordata; Mammalia; Carnivora; Mustelidae
Description: lncRNA (ENSMPUG00000032047.1)
Source: RNAcentral
AUGUUUAUAAGUGUCAUUAAACGCUUUUUUUUUUUUUUUUUAAUGCUGACGAGAAGGCAGCGUGUGAGUCAGUAUGCCACCUUUGUUCUGAGGUGGUUCACAUUUGUGGACGGCUUUGGAGUGUGCCUGCCAAAGCAACACCCCGUCUUAGGUGAUAUGGUAGGCCCUGUGCUUGUAGGAAAUGUGCUAUUCCUGGCCACUGGAGAAUUCACAGCUUAGUCAGAGAGACACAUGCAUCCGCGGUUACAGUGCAGGUGGUCAAGUGCUGUCCAUCACAGAAGUGUGUGGAAGGUACAACAGCGGGUCCAGAGGAGGGACACCUAACCCAUCUUGGGCAGAAGGAUGUAGGGAAGUUUCUGACCCAUGGAGGUAAUAAGUGCACACUUUAUUAUUUUUAUUUUUUAAUUUAUUUUAAUUUUUAAAAAAUUAUUUAUUCAUGAGAGAGAGAGAGAGAGAGCAUGAGCAGUGGCGGAAUGGGG